This 574-nucleotide ribosomal RNA is filed under the name uncultured bacterium. RNAcentral's name for it is "bacterial SSU rRNA". It matches the Rfam family "Bacterial small subunit ribosomal RNA", at positions 338 to 905 of the family's 1533-position model. The record is from RNAcentral.
CCUACGGGAGGCAGCAGUGGGGAAUUUUGGACAAUGGGCGCAAGCCUGAUCCAGCAAUGCCGCGUGCAGGAAGAAGGCCUUCGGGUUGUAAACUCUUUUGUCAGGGAAGAAAUCUUCUGGGCUAAUACCCCGGGAGGAUGACGGUACCUGAAGAAUAAGCACCGGCUAACUACGUGCCAGCAGCCGCGGUAAUACGUAGGGUGCGAGCGUUAAUCGGAAUUACUGGGCGUAAAGCGUGCGCAGGCGGUUAUGUAAGACAGAUGUGAAAUCCCCGGGCUCAACCUGGGAACUGCAUUUGUGACUGCAUGACUGGAGUGCGGCAGAGGGGGAUGGAAUUCCGCGUGUAGCAGUGAAAUGCGUAGAUAUGCGGAGGAACACCGAUGGCGAAGGCAAUCCCCUGGGCCUGCACUGACGCUCAUGCACGAAAGCGUGGGGAGCAAACAGGAUUAGAUACCCUGGUAGUCCACGCCCUAAACGAUGUCAACUGGUUGUUGGACGGCUUGCUGUUCAGUAAGCGAAGCUAACGCGUGAAGUUGACCGCCUGGGGAGUACGGCCGCAAGGUUGAAACUCAAA